CUUUAUAGGAAGAAGAAGAUCAACCACACUAAGUUUAGAAUUGUUGGAAAUGUUCUCAAUAGCUUGUUGCACAGUAUUCCUAACAUGAUCGUUGGGAUGUAGGAGUUCUAAAAAAAAGGGAGAAAAUGCAUUAAUUAUAUUAUUAGCACGCUCUUUCGGUGCAAGCACAUCCUGAAGUAUACAGAAUUGAGUUGUAAUAUCAACGAUGAAAGAACGAACUUCGGUUAAUUUUAAAACCCCAUAAUCGGUUGGAGUAUCCUUGAGAAUAAAGAACAAAGCCUUCAAUAUGUCGUGUAAUCUAUCUUGGAUCCAA
Molecule: non-coding RNA, 313 nt
Organism: Schizosaccharomyces pombe (fission yeast)
Lineage: Eukaryota; Fungi; Ascomycota; Schizosaccharomycetes; Schizosaccharomycetales; Schizosaccharomycetaceae
Source: the annotation of a GenBank genome assembly